GCUGGGCGCAGUGGUGUAUACCUGUAAUCCCAACAGCCCUGGAGGCUGAGGCAGGAGGGUUGCAAGUUUGAAGCUAGCCUUAGUGAUAGCAAGGCACUAAGUGAGACCCUGUCUCUA
This 117-nucleotide small RNA is filed under the name Marmota monax (woodchuck). The record is from RNAcentral. Lineage: Eukaryota; Metazoa; Chordata; Mammalia; Rodentia; Sciuridae.